UUUUGGACAAUGGGCGAAAGCCUGAUCCAGCAAUGCCGCGUGCAGGAAGAAGGCCUUCGGGUUGUAAACUGCUUUUGUACGGCACGAAACGGUCUGCCCUAAUGCGGCGGGCUAAUGACGGUACCGUAAGAAUAAGCACCGGCUAACUACGUGCCAGCAGCCGCGGUAAUACGUAGGGUGCGAGCGUUAAUCGGAAUUACUGGGCGUAAAGCGUGCGCAGGCGGUUAUGUAAGACAGUUGUGAAAUCCCCGGGCUCAACCUGGGAAUUGCAUCUGUGACUGCAUAGCUAGAGUACGGUAGAGGGGGGUAGAAUUCCACGUGUAGCAGUGAAAUGCGUAGAGAUGUGGAGGAAUACCAAUGGCGAAGGCAGCCCCCUGGGAUAAUAUUGACGCUCAUGCACGAAA
RNAcentral lists this ribosomal RNA (404 nucleotides) under uncultured bacterium. RNAcentral's name for it is "bacterial SSU rRNA". It matches the Rfam family "Bacterial small subunit ribosomal RNA", at positions 362 to 758 of the family's 1533-position model. The record is from RNAcentral.